Molecule: ribosomal RNA, 250 nt
Filed under: uncultured bacterium
Lineage: Bacteria
Description: partial 16S ribosomal RNA
Rfam family: Bacterial small subunit ribosomal RNA
Source: RNAcentral
UAGGGAAUAUUGGUCAAUGGGUGGAAGCCUGAACCAGCCAUGCCGCGUGCAGGAAGACGGCCUUCUGGGUUGUAAACUGCUUUUAUCUGGGGAUAAAAUACCCUUGCGAGGGAGACUGAAGGUACCAGAUGAAUAAGCCACGGCUAACUACGUGCCAGCAGCCGCGGUAAUACGUAGGUGGCAAGCGUUGUCCGGAUUCAUUGGGUUUAAAGGGUGCGUAGGCGGCCAUUUAAGUCAGUGCUGAAAUAUC